Molecule: ribosomal RNA, 499 nt
Filed under: uncultured bacterium
Lineage: Bacteria
Description: partial 16S ribosomal RNA
Rfam family: Bacterial small subunit ribosomal RNA
Source: RNAcentral
GACGAACGCUGGCGGCGUGCCUAAUACAUGCAAGUCGAGCGGACUGAAUGGGAGCUUGCUCUUGUUCGGUCAGCGGCGGACGGGUGAGUAACACGUGUGCAACCUGCCCGCAAGACCGGGAUAACUCCGGGAAACCGGAGCUAAUACCGGAUAACACCGAAGACCGCAUGGUCUUUGGGUGAAAGGCGGCGGAAGCUGCCACUUGCGGAUGGGCCCGCGGCGCAUGUGCUAGUUGGUGAGGUAACGGCUCACCAAGGCGACGAUGCGUAGCCGGCCUGAGAGGGUGGCCGGCCACACUGGGACUGAGACACGGCCCAGACUCCUACGGGAGGCAGCAGUAGGGAAUCUUCCGCAAUGGGCGAAAGACUGACGGAGCGACGCCGCGUGAGCGAAGAAGGCCUUCGGGUCGUAAAGCUCUGUUGUGAGGGACGAAGGAGCGCCGUUUGAAGAAGGCGGCGCGGUGACGGUACCUCACGAGGAAGCCCCGGCUAACUACGUG